This 3068-nucleotide small RNA is filed under the name Pyricularia oryzae. RNAcentral's name for it is "Magnaporthe oryzae sRNA M_BR32_EuGene_00043121". Lineage: Eukaryota; Fungi; Ascomycota; Sordariomycetes; Magnaporthales; Pyriculariaceae. The record is from RNAcentral.
AUAUAUGCAUUUUUGGUACGUUAAAUUACGUAUUAUUAUUGGCAAUUAGCUGCCCCGAUUUUUACCUGUUCCAAACGAUUUGUUUAUUUUUUUUAUUAUAUUAUAACCGUACCGUUUUUUAACAAUAUUUUGCAACCGUUAAAAUCCUUUAUAUUAUUUUUUUGCAGGAUUUUCUGGGGUUUUGUAAAAAGGCCUAUUCGUUAAAAUUUUGUUUUUUUUAUUAUAAUAAAAUUUGGAUCGCCCAAAUUUAAUAUAUUAUCCGUUUGGAAUCCGAUAAACCCAAACGGGUUAUUUUUCGUUAUUAAUAAAUAAAUAUUGUAAAUCGAAAUUUUGCAAUUUAGCCGUUUUUUAUAAUAGCGUUAAUACGUAUUAAACCAAUGCAAACCUAAUUCGGCUAAACCGUAUAAUGGUUUGUAAAUUUUUAAAUACGUAUCCCGUAAAUAUUUAUAUUGUAAUUUUUUUGGUAUUCGCACCAAAACGUCCUUUAUUAAUUGGUUUUUCGAUUGGGUAUACGUUUAAUUUAUAUUUUUAAUUAUAAAUUUAAAUCCGUAACGUUUUAUUAAAUUUGGUGCGAUUAAAAGAAUUAAACGUUGGUUGCAUUUUAUAAUUGUUGGCGUUUGCGUUAGGAAGGUUUUUUUUUUUAAUUAUUAUAAUUUUAAAUUAUUAAUCUCGAUUUUUCGUACGGCCGUUCCGGCGUUCUUUUGACCUUUCGUACCAUUUUAGCGCCGAAAAUCCGGCUACGUACGUUAUUUUUUAAUAUCGGUUGCAGGAUUUCCGCACCCAACAAUAUUUUAAUUUCGGCGGCGUUUAAUUGUUCGAAUAAAAUCCCUGGUACCGUAAUUUUAUUUUUUAUUUUAUAUUUAAUAACCAGGUCGUAGGCGUGGUUUUUUUUAUCCGAUAUUAACGUAUUAAAUUGCAUUUUGGGUUUCCUAUUUCGUUUAUUGCGUUAGUGUUUUUCGGGUUUAAUUGCCAUUUCGAUCGUUAAAUUGUUCGGUGUUAUAUUCGUUUUAGGGGUAAUAAUUCCUAAAUUAGGGGGCGGUUUUUGCGUUGGAUUAACCGCUAUUAUUAUUAACAAUUUUUUGGGCGUUUUUGGUACCGUUUUUAAUUUCCCCCUAGGCCGUGGAUAGUUUUUUUUAGGGUAAACAAAAUCGUCCUUUUUUUAUAUUUUUGUUUCCUGGUUUUAAUAUUUGUAGUAUGGUUUUAUAUGGGUGUUUUUAAAAUCCAAAUCCCCGUUGGGGAAAGUAAUUUUUACGUUAUUUUCCAUUAUUAAAACGAUUUUAUAUAAACCAUUCCAAUUAUUUUUUUUUCGGUAUAUUAGCAUUUUUGCAUUUAAUUCCAACGUACGUAAAAAUCGGUUCGACAAUUUUGGAUCGUUUUUUGCGGUUAAUGCGUCGUUUAAUUUUUUUUGGCGGUAAAUUUCCGUAAUUCCGUUAUAAUUUUGUAAAUUACCGCCGUUUAUUUUAUUUAAUUGGGCGUCGGAGGUAAAUUUUUCGUAAUUUUAAACAUUGCCCCAAAUAUUAAUAAUAUAAAUACCAAACCGUUCGGCCCUGCGGUAUCGUUAACCGUUUUUACCGUUGUUUGCAGGGCAAUUUUUUGCGAAUAUUCCGUACCGCAUUCGGUACGGAUAAUUUCGUAAAUUCGCUUUAACGGUGUAUAAAAUUUUUCGAUUUUAUUUAUUGCCCAAUAUAUUUCCACCGGUAUUUGGUUAUAUAAUAUACCCAAUAACCGUAUUUUUGCGUGGAAUUCGGUUAUACGGAAAUUGGGUCCCGGGUCGAACGUUAAUACGUCCGGUGGUUUUAAAUAUAUAUCGAUUUAAUAUUAUUUUAAUAUUUUCCAGGUUUUUUUAAUUAAUAUAUCCGUUAUAAAUUUGGUUAUUUAAAAAGCGGUGCUCGUAUUAAUUAUAUAAAAUACCGGGCGUUUUUCCAGGUAUAUUAUAUCGACGAUUACCUCGUAAUUAAAAUCGAUAUUGUUUUUUAAGGCGAAUUUAAAACGUUGGGGCGUUUUUCCUUUUUUUUAAUAAAAAUAAUAAAUUUUGUUAAUUAUUUUUAGGGUUUUAAAAUUUGUUUUUUCCCUUGCCCGUUAUAAAAAUUUUUAUAAUUUAUUAAUUAACGGGUGCCCAAAACGUUUAUGCAUUCGUUUAAAUUUUUUUUCGGUUAGGAAUAUUCCGGCGAUUUUUAAUUCGGUUAAAAACGUAAUUUUAUACGCGGUAUUAUUUGAAUAAAACCACGGGUGCCCCCGUUUUCGUUUAACGGCCAUUUGUUUCCCGUCGCCGCAUAUAAUUUCGUUACGUAUAUUAUUAUAAUAAAUAUAAAACCUAUCCAUAUUUUUUUAAAAAAAUUAAAAACGGUAUAUCGGUUUUUAUAAUAUAAAACGUAAUUUUUCCAAUGGGUGUUGGGAUAUUUACCGUUCCUAAUAAAACGGUUACGUUUUUUUAACCAAAACGAAUACGUGUUUUUCCGGCGCGUUAUUUGUCCAUAUAUAAUUUUGGGUUAUAACGUUUUAAAAUAACGAAUUAUUUAAAUCCCGCUGUAAAAUAUUCCGUUGCACCAAUAUCCGGGAAAAAAUCUUCCUAUUCGGUGCCGUUUAAAAAAAACGUUUAUUAUAAACAAUUAUUACCCAUAACCGAAUUAUAUUCGCGAAUUUUUGGAAACCCUGUACCGUAAUUAAAAACCACAGGUAAAAACUUUGUACCGUGUUCGCGAACUUUUGGUGGUUAUACGUUAUAUUUAUAAGGCGCAGGCAACGGUUUUCUACCGUAUUCGCGAAUUUUUGGCGGUUCCGUAUUAUGUUUUUUAAAUACAAAUAACGGUUUUGUACCGUGUUUGUAAACCUUUGGUAAUUUUGCACCAAUCCCGUAAAUCGCCGGUAAUAAUUUUAUACCGUGUUCGCGAAUUUUUGGGAAUUUGUAGAGGAAAGUUUCGUCGGUUAAUAAUUUUACCCCCUAUUUUGUUAUAUAAUGGUUCGUUACAGGUAAUUUUUCGUAAAAAAAACCGUCCGAUUCGGCUUUAAAUAGUUUGGAAUUAUUAUUAAAUUAAUUUUUUUUAGGCCCUUUUAUAUUUUAUAUAUAU